UACGUAGGGGGCAAGCGUUGUCCGGAUUUACUGGGCGUAAAGAGCGCGCAGGCGGUCGGCCAAGUCGAGUGUGAAAGCCCCCGGCUCAACUGGGGAGGGUCAUUCGAUACUGGUCGACUCGAAGGCAGGAGAGGGAAGCGGAAUUCCCGGUGUAGUGGUGAAAUGCGUAGAUAUCGGGAGGAACACCAGUGGCGAAGGCGGCUUCCUGGCCUGUUCUUGACGCUGAGGCGCGAAAGCUAGGGGAGCAAACGGG
Molecule: ribosomal RNA, 253 nt
Filed under: uncultured bacterium
Lineage: Bacteria
Description: partial 16S ribosomal RNA
Rfam family: Bacterial small subunit ribosomal RNA
Source: RNAcentral